Antechinus flavipes (yellow-footed antechinus) is the source of this 391-nucleotide long non-coding RNA. RefSeq lists it as uncharacterized. Lineage: Eukaryota; Metazoa; Chordata; Mammalia; Dasyuromorphia; Dasyuridae. The transcript is spliced from 3 exons. The record is from RefSeq and is a predicted model, not a curated record.
GUUUGAGGCACUGGCUGCUGAGAAGCAAAUCUCCAGAAAAGCACAACCAAAAUUGAAUGAAUUCUGAUUUAUUUGCGGUGGUCAUUUUGCCUCCUGGUUGAUAUCAGAGUAGGGUUUCUGGCUUUGGACUGCUUGCUGAGAAUCAUCAUGACAUUCCUGGGGUCUGAGCAUUCUUUGUUGAUUUGGAGCAAGUUCAAAUCAGUUUUACAGUUACGACUUCAGCAAAGAAGGACCCAAGAACAACUGGCUAAUCAAGACACAAUGCUGAACUAAUCCAAGCCACAGAAUCCACAUAUUUACUGCAAAGCCCUGGUAAAUUCCUAAAUUAUGCGAUCUCAUCUUAAAUAGCAUGAAGAAUGAACUGGGCAAUUCCUGCGCACCCCUGCACAAU